UCAAGUGACUAAGUGCAUGCGGCGGAUGCCUUGGCGAUCACAGGCGAAGAAAGACGCGGCAGCCUGCGAAAAGCUGCGGGGAGCUGGCAAACGAGCUUUGAUCCGCAGAUAUCUGAAUGGGGGAACCCACACCGCAAGGUGUAUCCGUAACUGAAUACAUAGGUUACGGAGGCGAACGAGGAGAACUGAAACAUCUAAGUAUCCUCAGGAAAAGAAAUCAACCGAGAUUCCGGCAGUAGCGGCGAGCGAACCCGGAGGAGCCCAGCUUUUGAUAGUACGAACUUUAGCCGAAAGGUCCUGGAAAGGCCUGCUAUAGUGGGUGAUAGCCCCGUAGGCGAAAGAGUUGGUACGGUACUAAGGAAGCGAGAAGUAGAGCGGGACACGUGGAAUCCUGUUCGAAGACGGGGGGACCAUCCUCCAAGGCUAAAUACUCGUGAUCGACCGAUAGUGAACCAGUACCGUGAGGGAAAGGCGAAAAGAACCCCGGGAGGGGAGUGAAAUAGAACCUGAAACCGCAUGCAUACAAACAGUAGGAGCCUCGUCAGAGGUGACUGCGUACCUUUUGCAUAAUGGGUCAGCGACUUACAUUCUGUGGCGAGCUUAACCGAAUAGGGGAGGCGCAGCGAAAGCGAGUUCGAAAUGAGCGUCCAGUCGCAGGGUGUAGACCCGAAACCAGAUGAGCUAUCCAUGGCCAGGUUGAAGGUGUGGUAACACACACUGGAGGACCGAACCGACUAGUGUUGCAAAAUUAGCGGAUGAGCUGUGGAUAGGGGUGAAAGGCCAAACAAAUCUGGAGAUAGCUGGUUCUCCCCGAAAACUAUUGAGGUAGUGCCUCGUGUGUCGCUCCAGGGGGUAGAGCACUGUUUUGGCUAGGGGGACAUGGAGUCUUACCAAACCAAGGCAAACUCCGAAUACCUGGAAGCGUAAGCACGGGAGACAGAGCACCGGGUGCUAACGUCCGGACUCAAAAGGGAAACAACCCAGACCGCCGGCUAAGGUCCCAAAUAACAGCUAAGUGGAAAACGAAGUGGAAAGGCCGUGACAACCAGGAAGUUGGCUUAGAAGCAGCCAUCCUUCAAAGAAAGCGUAAUAGCUCACUGGUCGAGUCCUUCUGCGCGGAAGAUGUAACGGGGCUAAGCUGUUAACCGAAGCCGCGGAUGCGCUGGUUAUCCAGUGCGUGGUAGGGGAGCGUUCUGUAAGUCUGCGAAGGCGGUUCGAGAGGACUGCUGGAGAUAUCAGAAGUGCGAAUGCUGACAUGAGUAACGUUAAAGCAGGUGAAAAGCCUGCUCGCCGUAAGCCCAAGGAUUCCUGCUCUACGUUCAUCGGAGCAGGGUGAGUCGGCUCCUAAGGUCAGGCCGAAAGGCGUAGCCGAUGGGAAUCAGGUUAAUAUUCCUGAACCUGCGUCAGAUGCGAUGGGGGGACGGAGCAUGGAAGAUCAUCCGGGUGUUGGAAGUCCCGGUUGUUUAGCGUAGGAGGUCUGCAGGCAAAUCCGCAGACGCAUCUCCAAGGCAAAGACACGUGCCGCCACGGCGGCGAAGUGAUCGGAAGUGCUUCCAAGAAAAGCCUCUAAGCCCCAGUCUGACGCGGACCGUACCGCAAACCGACACUGGUGGGCGAGCUGAAUAUGCUCAGGCGCUUGAGAGAACUCGGGAGAAGGAACUCGGCAAAUUGACACCGUAACUUCGGAAGAAGGUGUGCCGUAGUACCGUGAGAGGAGAGACACCUUGAGCGGGAAACGGUCUCAGAGAAUAGGUGGCUGCGACUGUUUAUUAAAAACACAGCACUCUGCAAAGUCGAAAGACGACGUAUAGGGUGUGAUGCCUGCCCGGUGCUGGAAGAUUAAUUGAUGGGGUGAGAGCCCUUGAUCGAAGUCCCAGUAAACGGCGGCCGUAACUAUAACGGUCCUAAGGUAGCGAAAUUCCUUGUC
RNAcentral lists this ribosomal RNA (1927 nucleotides) under human gut metagenome. RNAcentral's name for it is "bacterial LSU rRNA". It matches the Rfam family "Bacterial large subunit ribosomal RNA", at positions 3 to 1973 of the family's 2925-position model. The record is from RNAcentral.